Molecule: ribosomal RNA, 407 nt
Filed under: uncultured bacterium
Lineage: Bacteria
Description: partial 16S ribosomal RNA
Rfam family: Bacterial small subunit ribosomal RNA
Source: RNAcentral
AUUGAACGCUGGCGGCAGGCCUAACACAUGCAAGUCGAGCGGAGCGGCGGACGGGUGAGUAAUGCCUAGGAAUCUGCCUGGUAGUGGGGGAUAACGUCCGGAAACGGGCGCUAGUACCGCAUACUAGCAGAUGAGCAUAGGUCGGAUUAGGUAGUUGGGGGGGUAAAGGCCUACCAAGGCGACGCUCCGUAACUGGUCUGAGAGGAUGAUCAGUCACACUGGAAUUGAGACACGGUCCAGACUCCUACGGUAGGCAGCAGUGGGGAAUAUUGUAUAAUGGGCGAAAGCCUGAGCCAGCCAUGCCGCGUGUGUGAAGAAGGUCUUCGGCUUGUAAAGCACUUUAAGUUUGGAGGCGUUACCAACAGAAUAAGCACCGGCUAACUCCGUGCCAGCAGCCGCGGUAAUAC